Scomber japonicus (chub mackerel) is the source of this 1606-nucleotide RNA transcript. It is a transcript of the gene named gap junction Cx32.2 protein-like, with no coding region annotated. NCBI's taxonomy places the organism in Eukaryota, Metazoa, Chordata, Actinopteri, Scombriformes, Scombridae. The record is from RefSeq and is a predicted model, not a curated record. The transcript is spliced from 4 exons.
CUCCACAGCUGUGAACACUGUCUGACACGUUCAACUCAAAGAUCAGAGACGAUGGGAGACUGGGGUUUUCUGUCCAAGCUGCUGGAUAAGGUCCAGUCCCACUCCACCGUGGUGGGGAAGGUCUGGCUCAGCGUGCUCUUCAUCUUCAGGAUCAUGAUCCUCGGAGCCGGAGCUGAAAAGGUUUGGGGUGACGAACAGUCCAACAUGAUCUGCAACACCAAGCAGCCCGGCUGUAAGAACGUCUGCUACGACCACGCCUUCCCAAUCUCACACAUCCGAUUCUGGGUUCUCCAGAUCAUCUUCGUCUCCACGCCGACGCUCAUCUACUUCGGUCACGUCGCCCACGUCGUCCACAAAGAGAAUAAACUGAGAGAACGAAACUCCAGGAGCGAAGUCGUCAAAGCCCCCAAAUACUCUGACGAAAAAGGCCACGUGCAGAUUAAAGGCAGCCUGCUGGGGAACUACAUGACCUCCAUAUUUUUCAGAAUCAUCAUCGAGGUGGGGUUCAUCGUGGGGCAGUAUUAUCUGUACGGGUUCAUCAUGGAUCCCAGAAUCGUCUGCUCCCGAGCUCCCUGCCCCUUCACCGUUGAGUGCUACAUGUCUCGACCCACCGAGAAGACCAUCUUCAUCAUCUUCAUGCUCGUAGUCGGGUGCGUCUCUGUUCUGCUCAACGUGGUGGAGAUCUUCUACCUGCUGUGCAAACGCUCAUCCAGAAGAAAGUCUAAAGCGGUGCCAGAGGCGGCGAUCACUCUUCAUCCUCGCCUCAAUGGUGACAGUCUGAAGAAAAAUGGCCUCCAUGACAGCAGUCACAGUCACGCCUGAGGAGCUAAAGCCUGAGAGCAGCCUCUUACUAUUCUGCUAAACCACAGCCCACAUGUGUAAAACCUAAGUUAUUUAUUUAUUUGACACUUAAAACUUUUAAAAUUACACAAAUUUGAGGACACACACAUAUGGACUGCUUAUUAAUAAUCACGUUCAAAUAUUUAACCCUUGUGUCGUCCUCCCGGGUGGAAAACCUUGGAAAACCUUUGUCUCUCCCUUCUAGCAGUAACAAACACUGUCAUCAUGGCUGCAGACCCCCGACCCUUUUUACAUGAACUGAUGCGGUUGGCGUGAACUAAAGGCAGCGACAGAACAAUCACUGCUGGUUAAAGUAAAACACAUCAAUACCUGUGAGUAAAACUCACCACAGACACCAGAUAUAAAAACUCUGUAUACUCUAAAAUACAGAGAGAUUUACUUACUGUGUGAACUCAUUAAGCUUGAAUGUAAUUUAGAUUAUUUAUAUGUAAAAGUCCCACACUACCACUGUAAUACCACAUGAACCACUUUUGAAUAUUGGCGCCCCCAAGUGGUAGAUUCUCACUAAUGUUAUCUUUGUACAAAUGUGUAAAAGUCAUUUUAUAGAGAGAGAAGCUGUCUUGUAAAGUGUGUAAGUACAGCGUUACGUUACUUAUUAAAUCACUUAUUUAAGAUUGCAGCAUGGCGUUUAUAUCUGUAAAUAUUUUGAUUAUCAAUCAAUAAAGUUUUUCUGUGUUUUAUAUUUUAAAAUAACUGUAUAUGUUUUUUGUAUUUCACUGAAAACAUAAUAAAAUUAUUUUAAAAA